This is a long non-coding RNA of Amphibalanus amphitrite, 335 nucleotides long. RefSeq lists it as uncharacterized. NCBI's taxonomy places the organism in Eukaryota, Metazoa, Arthropoda, Thecostraca, Balanomorpha, Balanidae. The transcript has 2 exons. The record is from RefSeq and is a predicted model, not a curated record.
GCGCGAACAGGAGACCACUGACCUGAAGAGAAACAUUGACAGACUCUAUGAGCAGAACACUGAUCUGAAGAACAGGAUUAAACAUCCAGGAGCUUACCGUUAGACUGGCUGGAUUGGGCUGCGAAGGUCCACUAGAAGUCUGUGGGUAACCGGAGAAAAGCAACGGCGACUGGAGGUCACUCGAACAGCACCGACCUCUAUAUCGCUCUGAACUUCGCUCUAACGGGGAAUCUAGGCAGUUCCCGAGCCCGUGUGCUUGCCUUUUAGUACGGGCAUCCUCCCUGCUUUUAUCGCUUCAUUAUAAUUUGUUACUGCAGUUCCAUUCGAUGUAACGU